Small nucleolar RNA from Papaver somniferum (opium poppy), 220 nucleotides. RefSeq annotates it as small nucleolar RNA U3. Lineage: Eukaryota; Viridiplantae; Streptophyta; Magnoliopsida; Ranunculales; Papaveraceae. The record is from RefSeq and is a predicted model, not a curated record. The transcript has a single exon.
ACGACCUUACUUGAACAGGAUCUGUUCUAUAGGCCUGUACCUCGACAUCCCUGUGUUCUACGGAGACAGGAAACGCAGUCUGGUUGAUGAACCAUGACCGCACGACUGGAGAGUGAUCAAUGGGUUGCACAGGCCUAUGAUGUAGGCCUUGUGGUUGUAGAUGAUCGUUCUCAGCGUGUUUUCGGACUGCUGUGGUGGUCGUGCGGUUGUCUGACAGACU